Molecule: ribosomal RNA, 253 nt
Filed under: uncultured bacterium
Lineage: Bacteria
Description: partial 16S ribosomal RNA
Rfam family: Bacterial small subunit ribosomal RNA
Source: RNAcentral
UACAGAGGGUGCGAGCGUUGUUCGGAAUUACUGGGCGUAAAGCGCACGUAGGCGGCUUGCCAAGUCGGACGUGAAAUCCCUCAGCUCAACUGAGGACGUGCAUCCGAAACUGGCGAGCUUGAGUACUGAAGAGGAUCGCGGAAUUCCCGGUGUAGCAGUGAAAUGCGUAGAUAUCGUGAGGAACACCAGAGGCGAAGGCGGUUACCUGGACAGUUACUGACGCUCAGGCACGAAAGCAUGGGGAGCAAAAGGG